GACGGGUGAUAACGCGUGAGAACCUACCUUCAGAAUGGGGACAACAGUUGGAAACGACUGCUAAUACCCAAUGUGCCGAAAGGUGAAAGAUUUAUCGUCUGAAGAUGGGCUCGCGUCUGAUUAGCUAGAUGGUGGGGUAAGAGCCUACCAUGGCAACGAUCAGUAGCUGGUCUGAGAGGAUGAGCAGCCACACUGGGAGUGAGACACGGCCCAGACUCUUACGGGAGGCAGCACUGGGGAAUUUUCCGCAAUGGGCGAAAGCCCGACGGAGCAAUACCGCGUGAGGGAGGAAGGUCCUUGGAUUGUAAACCUCUUUUAUCAGGGAAGAAGUUCUGACGGUACCUGAUGAAUAAGCAUCGGCUAACUCCGUGCCAGCAGCCGCGGUAAUACGGAGGAUGCAAGCGUUAUCCGGAAUUAUUGGGCGUAAAGCGUCCGUAGGUGGUUUUGCAAGUCUGCUGUUAAAGAAUGGAGCUUAACUCCAUAGGAGCGGUGGAAACUGCAAGACUAGAGUACAGUAGGGGUAGCAGGAAUUCCCAGUGUAGCGGUGAAAUGCGUAGAUAUGGGAAGAACAUCGGGGCGAAAGCGGCUACUGGCCGAAAACUGACACUGAGG
Molecule: ribosomal RNA, 612 nt
Filed under: Synechocystis sp. LEGE 07367
Lineage: Bacteria; Bacillati; Cyanobacteriota; Cyanophyceae; Synechococcales; Merismopediaceae
Description: bacterial SSU rRNA
Rfam family: Bacterial small subunit ribosomal RNA
Source: RNAcentral